Molecule: ribosomal RNA, 1009 nt
Filed under: Spartobacteria bacterium
Lineage: Bacteria; Pseudomonadati; Verrucomicrobiota; Spartobacteria
Description: bacterial SSU rRNA
Rfam family: Bacterial small subunit ribosomal RNA
Source: RNAcentral
AGAGUUUGAUUCUGGCUCAGAACGAACGCUGGCGGCGUGGAUAAGACAUGCAAGUCGAACGGGAUUACUUUUGUAGCAAUACAGGAGUAAUUCAGUGGCGAACGGGUGCGUAACACGUGGGCAAUCUGCCGAAAAGUGGGGGAUAGCUCGCCGAAAGGCGAAUUAAUACCGCAUGUGGUGAGGGGGGACAUCUUCCUGAAUCCAAAGCCGGGGCAACCUGGCGCUUUUUGAGGAGCCCGCGGCCUAUCAGCUAGUUGGUGAGGUAACGGCUCACCAAGGCUUUGACGGGUAGCUGGUCUGAGAGGACGACCAGUCACACUGGAACUGAGACACGGUCCAGACACCUACGGGUGGCAGCAGUCGAGAAUUUUUCUCAAUGGGGGAAACCCUGAAGGAGCGACGCCGCGUGGAGGAUGAAGGCUUUCGGGUUGUAAACUCCUGUCAUUUGGGAACAAGGUGCACACGUUAACUGCGUGAGUAUUGAUAGUACCAGAAGAGGAAGGGACGGCUAACUCUGUGCCAGCAGCCGCGGUAAUACAGAGGUCCCAAGCGUUGUUCGGAUUCAUUGGGCGUAAAGGGUGCGUAGGUGGCGCUGUAAGUCGGGUGUGAAAUUUCGAGGCUUAACCUCGAAACUGCAUUCGAUACUGCGGUGCUUGAGGACUGGAGAGGAGACUGGAAUUCAUGGUGUAGCAGUGAAAUGCGUAGAGAUCAUGAGGAAGACCAGUGGCGAAGGCGGGUCUCUGGACAGUUCCUGACACUGAGGCACGAAGGCCAGGGGAGCAAACGGGAUUAGAUACCCCGGUAGUCCUGGCAGUAAACGGUGCACGUUUGGUGUGGGGGGAUUCGACCCCUUCCGCGCCGGAGCUAACGCGUUAAACGUGCCGCCUGGGGAGUACGGUCGCAAGAUUAAAACUCAAAGAAAUUGACGGGGGCCCGCACAAGCGGUGGAGUAUGUGGCUUAAUUCGAUGCAACGCGAAGAACCUUACCAGGCCUUGACAUGCAUUUCUA